UACGGGGGGGGCAAGCGUUGUUCGGAAUUACUGGGCGUAAAGGGUUCGUAGGUGGCCUACUAAGUCAGACGUGAAAUCCCUCGGCUCAACCGGGGAACUGCGUCUGAGACUGGAAGGCUUGAGUGCAGGAGAGGAACGCGGAAUUCCAGGUGUAGCGGUGAAAUGCGUAGAUAUCAAGAGGAACACCUGAGGUGAAGACGGGUUGCUGGGCUGACACUGACGCUGAGGCGCGAAAGCUAGGGUAGCAAACGGG
This 253-nucleotide ribosomal RNA is filed under the name uncultured bacterium. RNAcentral's name for it is "partial 16S ribosomal RNA". It matches the Rfam family "Bacterial small subunit ribosomal RNA", at positions 524 to 776 of the family's 1533-position model. The record is from RNAcentral.